RNAcentral lists this long non-coding RNA (640 nucleotides) under Dromaius novaehollandiae (emu). Its description in RNAcentral is "lncRNA (ENSDNVG00000001057.1)". The record is from RNAcentral. Lineage: Eukaryota; Metazoa; Chordata; Aves; Casuariiformes; Dromaiidae.
AAACUAUUUUUUUCAUUUUAGAUAUUUGUACAAGAAGSAAUGGGCUCUGAAUUUUGACUAUGUUUUCUAGACACAAAGGGAAGUGUAUGGACCUGACGAUGAGGUUGUCACAGAUGUCACUAUGGAUCAAUCUGGGGCUCUUCUCCAUCUUGCACAAGUAGCCUUUUUGUUCUUUCUGAAAACGGUAGACUUGCUCAGUCUGCCUUGUGCGCACAAGACAUUGGAUUCUACUAUUUUUUAGACAGAAGUCACCUAUUCUAAGACUCAAGCUCACUAAAGUUUUUCAAAGUAACCAGGAACUCUCAAAAGGAAGUGGAAAGAAGUCCAAAAAGAAGAGAAGAUUGCUGCGUGAGGUGAGGUGCUGUUUAUUCCCAAUGAAGGAGGUGACUCCUGACCAAGGCAAGAACAACCUAAUAGGUAAGAAGGGGAGGAAAGAAGAUCURUUGUUCCAUUUUACAGAUAAGAAACUGAGGCACAGAGAUUAAAAGACACUGGCUACUUUCUACUAGUAAACUAAACAGUGACAGAGAUGGUUUUCUGGAACCAAGAUAAACUAGCAGGGCUUUGUCAUGUCCAGACUAUUAAACACUCUAACCUCCAAAACUGGUGUCUGAAUUAAAUUCUCUGGCCUACUCUGAGU